UCCAAACCAACUGACUGGUGCGAAAAUCUUGAAAACUAAGUUGAACAACCUUUAUGGUAAGGGGAGUGUAUGUUGUUGAAAACUCCAACACAUGAGUGAAAAUUACUGUAGUGUUAUGCAUAACAUAGAGUAUUGUAGAUUGAUCAUCUAUAGUACUUGAUUCAUUUGAGUUAUCAGUUUAAUAUAGAUAAUUCUAGUAAAUGUUCAAUAGUCCUUAGUGAUUGCUCAGUAUAAAUUGUUUUAUCCAGUUGGAUACGUU
RNAcentral lists this long non-coding RNA (259 nucleotides) under Panax ginseng (ginseng). RNAcentral's name for it is "long non-coding RNA (PGIN_LNC006732)". The record is from RNAcentral. Lineage: Eukaryota; Viridiplantae; Streptophyta; Magnoliopsida; Apiales; Araliaceae.